GACAAAUCAUUAAAGGAUGCUGCAGGGAACUUGCCAGGACUGUCCUGGAGAUGGCGAAGCUAAAUACAUCCACCUUCGCAUGCUUCAUCCUGGAAUUUGUCAACAUUAUGUGCUGCUUUAUGUCUGAAAUAUGAACCUCUGUUGUAUACUACACAAUCCAAAUACUGCUGGUGCUUCAAGUUCUUGAAAUGAUAAAUGAAUAGAUACUGCCCCACCAUUCAGCGUCAACCCUUUA
Fukomys damarensis (Damara mole-rat) is the source of this 235-nucleotide long non-coding RNA. RefSeq lists it as uncharacterized. Lineage: Eukaryota; Metazoa; Chordata; Mammalia; Rodentia; Bathyergidae. The transcript is spliced from 3 exons. The record is from RefSeq and is a predicted model, not a curated record.